UAAAUCUCCAGUGUGUGUUCUGAGAGUCUUGAACUAAUGAGAUCCUGGUAAACAGCCUGAAAUGGACUUUGCAGAUUCUACAUAAAGCAUCAACUGAUUUUCUCAGCACACAUUAUCAAAUUCCCUUCCCAUUUAAAGUUUGCUUUUUAUCAGAUGUAACCCUUUCCUGAGCCUGUGUUGUGAAUAUUUACAAAUGAUGCAGUCUGUGAGAUUCUUCAAACACACAGGAGAGAGAUACAAGGCCACUCUGUGUGUUUACAUAACAUGUUUCUUUCCUGAAAAUGUAAUGUUAAUAGGGAUUGGGCCCUUAAAAGAAGGCUGUACACCAAGAAGACCCAAACAGAAUAGAGCCAGCCCAAUAUAUGUACAGAGCUUGAGAUAAAAACACAAGAAAUAUAAAAAGGCAACCUGACUCCUUCAAGCUUCAUAUCCCUUCAGCAGCUAAAUCCAAAGAUACUUAAAUGGAUGAAAAGACGAAGAAUUCAUAAUAUUGAUUUUUAAAAUAAAUUACUUGAAAUAGGAUGAAAUUAAGCAUUUGAGUGAAUUAAGGAAGAUUUUGAAAGCUAUAAAAGAAUUAUUGAACAAGGAGACAGAGAUUCUGAAGAGAAUCAAACAGAAAUCUUGGAAAUGAAAAACACAGGAAGUCAAAAAACAAUUUUUCAGAAAGCCUCAGCAGUAGACUGGAUGAAGCAGAAGACAGAACUUCGGGGUUUGAAGACAAAGUUCAAGAAUUACUUCUCUGAGAUACUAGAAAUGGAAACAGACAAAAAAUAAAUUAUGAACAAAAUAUCCAAGAACUCUGAGACAUAUAAAAAUAAAACUUACAAAUUUUUAGUACAAAGGAGGAGUUUGAGGUACAGAUUAAAGGCAUAGAACCCAGUGGAAAAUAGCAGAAAACUAUGGCCAUCCAGGUACAGGAGGCAUUUAGAUCCCCAAACCAAGUAUCACCAGAAAAGAAUCUCCAAAUAUCAUAUUAUAAUUAAAAUUCCAGGAGUUCAGAACAAGGAAAAAGGAUUGAAAGCUACAAGAGAGAAAUGCCAAGUCACUUGCUCUGUAGACAAAUGCAUCAGAAUAACUGCAGGUUUCUCAGCAGAAACUCUAAAGACCAAGCAGGCAUGAGAUGAUGUGUUUCAAGACCUAAAAAAAAAUAACUGCCAACCUAAAUGGCUAUGUAUAGCAUAUCUAUCCUUCAGAAUCUAAAGAGAAAUAAAGAUCUUCCAUGAAAAGCAUAAACUAAAGAAAUUCAUGACCACUAAACCAGCAUUACAGAAGAUAUUUAAAGUAAUCUUACAUAUUGAAGAGGAAGAAAGAUAAGCAACUGAGAAUUAGGAAAAAAACCUAACAUUAGAAAAACAACAAAAUGAGAGGAAUUAGUAGACACCUUUCAAAAAUAAUCCUAAAGGUAAAUGGUCUUAAUUCUCCAAUAAAAAGUAAACCACUGGAUGGCAGAUGUAUUAAAAAUCAAGAUUUACCUCUUUCUUGCCUGAAAGAAUUACACUUCAAUGCCAAAGACUGUAAAUGAAAAGAAUAAAAUGAUAUUCCAGGAAAAUGGAUUUCAAAAUCAAGCAGGAGUAGUGAUACUCAUAUGUGAUGAAGCUACCUUCAUUACACAAUGCAAUGAUGCAUCUCAAGUUAUGAGAAAAAUGAGAGCAAACAAAAUCCAAACUCAAUAGAAGGAAAGAAAUAAUAAAGGCCAAAGGUAAAUUAAUAAAAAAGACUGAAAGAACAAUAUAAAGGAUCUAUGAAACAGAGAUGGUUCUUUGCAAAAAUAAAGAAGACCAACUCACCCUCAGCCAAACUAACAAAAAGAGAGUGAGAAGACCAGGAUCAAUACAAUUAGUGGUACAAAGUGGAAACUGCAGCAAACAGAACU
This is a long non-coding RNA of Heterocephalus glaber (naked mole-rat), 1873 nucleotides long. NCBI's taxonomy places the organism in Eukaryota, Metazoa, Chordata, Mammalia, Rodentia, Bathyergidae. The record is from Ensembl.